CUUGCAUCAGCUGCUGAGUGAGAAAGAUUUAUUCACUAUUUCUGUGCUGUAGGGAUUCCACUCCAUCUGCAUCUUGAACUCACGGAAUAAUUUAGGUUGAGAGCGAUCCCCAAGAGCCACAUAGUCCAACCUCUGGCUUCAAGGAGAGCCAGCAUCAAAGGGCCAACAUGCAAAAAGGGAUCUCAUUUUUAUGGACAGAAGAGGGAAACAGUUUUUCAAGGCAAAUCUACUAAAAUGAUACUUGUCAUCGAAUGGAAUUUGUUCCAGCCUAGGCUGAGGAGUGGAUGAGCUCAUUCUUCUGAAACACUGCACUUGUUGUCUUGGUGUAUUUAAGGAACAUCCAAAUGCUUCAGUCUAGACCUGGACUUUCAUUGCAGCAGAGCAGAACAGGAGCUAUA
This 398-nucleotide long non-coding RNA is filed under the name Coturnix japonica (Japanese quail). RNAcentral describes it as "lncRNA (ENSCJPG00005017622.1)". Lineage: Eukaryota; Metazoa; Chordata; Aves; Galliformes; Phasianidae. The record is from RNAcentral.